This 1287-nucleotide long non-coding RNA is filed under the name Macaca fascicularis (crab-eating macaque). RNAcentral describes it as "lncRNA (ENSMFAG00000052058.1)". Lineage: Eukaryota; Metazoa; Chordata; Mammalia; Primates; Cercopithecidae. The record is from RNAcentral.
CUUGUGUUCCAGCUGGUGGGAAACACUGGUUUUUUCUCAACUCCACGUGGGCAUGUCACGUGCAGGCCUGGCCUGGGGUAGGCCUCAGCUCCAUCUCCUGCCAAUGCCGGCCAAUCUUCAUGGUUCAAGGUCAUGUAGCCUGAUGGUGAAGUGAAGGGGCCCUGUUGUUGACUCAGUCUUGCCACAUACUGUGUGACUUUAUUCAAGUUUCCUAACCUCCUGUGCCUCAGUUUCCCAGCCUGUGUUUGUUUCUGAAUGGUGCCAGUGCCAAGCCCAAGCCUGGCAUCCAGUAGGUGCUUCGUGCCAGGUUAUGGAAUGCCCGCCCGAUAGGAGGGCGCUGCCUUCUCUCACCUGCUCCAGCCAAGUGCCCACAGUCAGUCCUCCAUCAUGCCAGCUGCGGCCAGCAGAGGGCAGCAGCGCCCUGCCCUGCGCCACUGGGCAAAGGGGCGGGCAGAGAGAGGUUGGGCUGCCUGGCCAGGCUUGUUGGGAUGAGUCGGGCUGGGCACGAUUGCAUUGCGGGGAGGGAGGCUGGGGCUCCGUGAGACGUGCUCCUGGCACUGCCAGCUACUACUUGGCCCUUGCUGGUGGCCCGCCAGGACAAUGCCCCCCACAGCCAUCUCAUGCCCAUCACCACUGCCCUGGGGCAGCUGAACUGAGCGGAUGUGCCACGCCACCCACGAGACCCCUCUGCUGCACCACUUCAUGGCGCUGCUCUGCCCUGAGUCCCAGCGGCCCCACUCUUGGUUGGCAUGUGACCACACACCCAGGGCAACAUCUCUCUGUGGGGGACAGCAGGGGCCACAGCAGGGGCUGCUCUCACCUCUCACCCUCAGCGGCUCAGCCCCGGGUUCCCACCAGGCACACCCAGGAGCCAUCUCCAGUCUGGCACCCCUCCCUGCCCCUUCCCUGACCCCUCCCCCGGCCAGAUCUCCUGGUCUGCUCUUCUCCCGGGACACUGCCACACUGAGGCCCCCUGUGCCAGGCCCUGAGAGACCCAAACUGCUGGGGCCCAUGGGGCAGGAGCAGGCCUCCCUGCACCUCUGCAGCCUGUGUUGUCUCUUGGCACCCCUGGCUUCUCCCAGCACCCCUACUGGCUUGCCCCAGUGCUUCCUCACCCCGGAGCUGGGCGCCAGCAUGGAGCAGGCCAGCAUGGAACUGACCCCUGCUCCUCGCUGACUUGCUCCUUGCUCAGCCCGCGGCUGCCUGGCUCUUUCCCCCAGCUGGGGAGGGUUCCUCCUUGCAGCCGGCCCUGGCUGUCCAGGGCAGGUUUUCUCUCCCUGUCCAGUC